RNAcentral lists this ribosomal RNA (465 nucleotides) under uncultured bacterium. Its description in RNAcentral is "partial 16S ribosomal RNA". It matches the Rfam family "Bacterial small subunit ribosomal RNA", at positions 28 to 507 of the family's 1533-position model. The record is from RNAcentral.
GACGAACGCUGGCGGCGUGCUUAACACAUGCAAGUCGAACGGAAAGGCCCUGCUUGCAGGGUACUCGAGUGGCGAACGGGUGAGUAACACGUGGGUGAUCUGCCCUGCACUUCGGGAUAAGCCUGGGAAACUGGGUCUAAUACCGGAUAGGAGCCAUUUUUAGUGUGAUGGUUGGAAAGUUUUUUCGGUGUAGGAUGAGCUCGCGGCCUAUCAGCUUGUUGGUGGGGUAAUGGCCUACCAAGGCGGCGACGGGUAGCCGGCCUGAGAGGGUGGACGGCCACAUUGGGACUGAGAGACGGCCCAGACGCCUACGGGAGGCAGCAGUGGGGAAGAUUGCACAAUGGGCGCAAGCCUGAUGCAGCGACGCCGCGUGGGGGAUGACGGCCUUCGGGUUGUAAACUCCUUUCGCUAGGGACGAAGCUUUUUUUGACGGUACCUAGAGAAGAAGCACCGGCUAACUACGUG